This 1404-nucleotide long non-coding RNA is filed under the name Homo sapiens (human). Its description in RNAcentral is "HSALNT0356861". Lineage: Eukaryota; Metazoa; Chordata; Mammalia; Primates; Hominidae. The record is from RNAcentral.
GCUGAUUCAACACCACAAACAACGUUCCUGUCUGCUGGGAAUGGGGAAAAUACAAGGAAGUGGAAGAAACUCCUUUAAAAGAGAUGGAGUCUUGAUCUGUCACCAGGCUGGAGUGCAAUGGCGUGGUCUCAGCUCACUGCAACCUCCACCUCCUGGGUUCAAGCGAUUUUCCUGCCUCAGCCUCCUGAGUAGCUGGUACUACAGGCACAUGCCACCAUGCUCAGCUAAUUUUUGUAUUUUUAGUAGAGAUGGAGUUUUGCCAUGUUGGCCAGGAUGGCUCGAUCUCUUGACCUCAGCCUCGGCCUCCCAAAGUGCUGGGAUCACAGAUGUGAGCCACUGCACCCGGCCUAAUUAAAAAAUUUUUUUUUGUAGAGACAAAGUCUUACUAUAUUGCCCAGGCUGGUCUUGAACUCUCAGCCUCAAGCAGUCCUUCCACCUCAGCCUCCCGAAGUGCUGAGAUUCCAGGCAUGAGCUACCACUCUUGGCAACCUUUCUUUUCUAUCCAGACCUAGGUCCUAGGUUCCUCAGACCUUUUGUGUAGUAGCUCCCAACUUUUCUGAACAACCCCAAUAUAUCAGACUUAAGAUAUCCUCCAUCCAUUAUUAUGUAAAGGAAAAGUCCUGUUUCCCUUCUAAUUGUAUUCCCCUUAUUUUUUAUUUUAACUUUUAAUUUUUUGGGUACAUAGUAGGCAUAUAUGUAUUUAUGGAGUACAGGAGAUAUUUUGGUACAGGAAUGCAAUGUGUAAUAAUCACGUCAUGGAAAAGAGGAUACUAUCCCCUCGAGCAUUUAUCCUUUGUGUUACCAACAAUCCAGUUAUACUCUUUUAGUUAUUUUUAAAUGUACAAUUAAGUUAUUAUGACUGGAUUCACCCUGUUUAUUUUCCUUAUUUUUAUAAUAGCUAGUCUCCAAGAUGGCGCCCAGUAUUCUUUACCUCAUGGCAUACACUUUCAUUUUACCCUCACCCCUCACUUUCUUGUAUAGCCUCCUCUCGCACUGAGUCAAAGCUGACCCAUGUGGUGGAAGUGAUGUUGUGUGACUUCCAAGACUAGGUCAUAAAGGGCAUCAAAUCUUUUGCAUUCCUCCUUUUUGAAUCCCUGGCUCUCAGGGAAGCAAGCCACCAUGCCGUGAAAACACUCAGUCAGUCCUGGCAAAACCCAUGUGUCAACAGCCAGCAACAACCCACACUUGUUGGGGUGAGCCACCUUGGAAGCAGAACCUCCUGCCCCAGUCAAGCCUCCCAAUGGCCGCAGCCUCUGCUGACAUCAGACUCUGUUCUCAUGAGCCACUAAGCCAAGCUUUUCUGAAUUUCUGAUCUGUAAAAAUUGAAGAGACAGUAAAUAUGUAUUGUCAUUUUAAGCCAUUAUGUUUUGGGGUGAUUUGUUGCAUAACAAUAAAGAAUUAAUA